RNAcentral lists this ribosomal RNA (458 nucleotides) under uncultured bacterium. RNAcentral's name for it is "SSU rRNA". It matches the Rfam family "Bacterial small subunit ribosomal RNA", at positions 26 to 518 of the family's 1533-position model. The record is from RNAcentral.
AGAAUCAACGCUGGCGGCGUGCCUAACACAUGCAAGUCGAACGAGAAAGGGUAGCAAUACCUGAGUAAAGUGGCGCACGGGUGAGUAACACGUGACUAACCUACCCUGGAGUGGGGGAUAACUGAGGGAAACCUUAGCUAAUACCGCAUAAUACCUACGGGUCAAAGGAGCAAUUCGCUUCAGGAGGGGGUCGCGGCCGAUUAGUUAGUUGGCGGGGUAAUGGCCCACCAAGACAGUGAUCGGUAUCCGGCCUGAGAGGGCGCACGGACACACUGGAACUGAAACACGGUCCAGACUCCUACGGGAGGCAGCAGUGGGGAAUUUUGCGCAAUGGGGGAACCCUGACGCAGCAACGCCGCGUGGAGGAUGAAGUCCUUCGGGACGUAAACUCCUUUCGAUCGGGACGAUAAUGACGGUACCGGAAGAAGAAGCCCGGCUAACUUCGUGCCAGCAGCCGC